AGAGUUUGAUCAUGGCUCAGAAUCAACGCUGGCGGCGCGCUUAACACAUGCAAGUCGCACGAGAAAGUGGGAAACCAUGAGUACAGUGGCGUACGGGUGAGUAACACGUGGGUAAUCUACCUCUGAGUGGGGAAUAACCCUGGGAAACCGGGGCUAAUACCGCAUAAUCUCGAGAGAGGAAAGCAGCAAUGCGCUGAGAGAGGAGCCCGCGGCCGAUUAGCUAGUUGGUAGGGUAAGAGCCUACCAAGGCAGAGAUCGGUAGCCGGCCUGAGAGGGCACACGGCCACACUGGCACUGAAACACGGGCCAGACUCCUACGGGAGGCAGCAGUGGGGAAUCUUGCACAAUGGGGGAAACCCUGAUGCAGCGACGCCGCGUGAGCGAUGAAGCCCUUCGGGGUGUAAAGCUCUUUCGUCAGGGAAGAUCAUGACGGUACCUGGAGAAGCAGCUGCGGCUAACUACGUGCCAGCAGCCGCGGUAAUACGUAGGCAGCGAGCGUUGUUCGGAGUUACUGGGCGUAAAGGGUGUGUAGGCGGUUCUUUAAGUUUGGUGUGAAAUCUCCCGGCUCAACCGGGAGGGUGCGCCGAAUACUGAGGGACUUGGAGUGCGGGAGAGGAAAGUGGAAUUCCUGGUGUAGCGGUGAAAUGCGUAGAUAUCAGGAGGAACACCGGUGGUGUAGACGGCUUUCUGGACCGUAACUGACGCUGAGACACGAAAGCGUGGGUAGCAAACAGGAUUAGAUACCCUGGUAGUCCACGCCCUAAACGAUGCAUAUUUGGUGUGGGUCAUUCAGUUGAUCCGUGCCGGAGCUAACGCGUUAAAUAUGCCGCCUGGGGAGUACAGUCGCAAGGCUGAAACUCAAAGGAAUUGACGGGGCCCGCACAAGCGGUGGAGCAUGUGGUUCAAUUCGACGCAACGCGAAGAACCUUACCUGGGCUCGAACGGCUGGUCAACGGAAGGUGGAAACAUCUUUAC
This 975-nucleotide ribosomal RNA is filed under the name uncultured bacterium. RNAcentral's name for it is "bacterial SSU rRNA". It matches the Rfam family "Bacterial small subunit ribosomal RNA", at positions 8 to 1015 of the family's 1533-position model. The record is from RNAcentral.